RNAcentral lists this transfer RNA (74 nucleotides) under Candidatus Beckwithbacteria bacterium. RNAcentral describes it as "tRNA-His". It matches the Rfam family "tRNA". From Rfam's summary of the family: Transfer RNA (tRNA) molecules are approximately 80 nucleotides in length. Lineage: Bacteria; Candidatus Beckwithiibacteriota. The record is from RNAcentral.
GUGGCUGUAGCUCAAUUGGUUAGAGCGCCUGCCUGUGGAGCAGGAGGUUGCCGGUUCAAUUCCGGUCAGCCACC